Molecule: transfer-messenger RNA, 334 nt
Filed under: bovine gut metagenome
Description: Alphaproteobacteria transfer-messenger RNA
Rfam family: Alphaproteobacteria transfer-messenger RNA
About the family: Bacterial tmRNA, also known as 10Sa RNA or SsrA, is named for its dual tRNA and mRNA-like properties. Its role is to liberate the mRNA from a stalled ribosome. To accomplish this part of the tmRNA is used as a reading frame that ends in a translation stop signal.
Source: RNAcentral
CUUGAUUUUUUAUAAAAAUGUCGAUAUAUUAUGCACUGCCAAGCAAUUGGCUGUGACACCAGAGGCCUUAUGGAAUAGGUGCAUUGGACCCGAGGGCAGUACUCGGCACCUCCACCAUUUUUUACGGGGGUGAAACAGGAUCGACAGUGUUCAGUAAAGAUUUGUGUUGUGUCCGGCAAGAUACCACCGUUAUCGGUUCAAAAUAAACGAAUGCAAAUGAUAAUUUUGCACCGGUUGCAGUUGCUGCUUAAUUUAGGCAAAUGCAACAAAUUUCAAUCCUUUAGGCAUUGGUUUGCUUAAAGUGGGGGCUGAGCCACCUAGCAACAGAACGGCU